AGGGUUCGAUUAUGGCUCAGGAUGAACGCUGGCGGCGUGCUUAACACAUGCAAGUCGAACGAAGCGCUUUAUUCAGAUUCUUUCGGGAUGAUGAAUUUAGUGACUUAGUGGCGGACGGGUGAGUAACGCGUGGGUAACCUGCCUUACACAGGGGGAUAACAGUUAGAAAUGACUGCUAAUACCGCAUAAAACAGCAGCACCGCAUGGUGCAACUGUCAAAGAUUUAUCGGUGUAAGAUGGACCCGCGUCUGAUUAGCCAGUUGGUGGGGUAACGGCCUACCAAAGCGACGAUCAGUAGCCGACCUGAGAGGGUGACCGGCCACAUUGGGACUGAGACACGGCCCAA
RNAcentral lists this ribosomal RNA (346 nucleotides) under uncultured bacterium. RNAcentral describes it as "bacterial SSU rRNA". It matches the Rfam family "Bacterial small subunit ribosomal RNA", at positions 8 to 334 of the family's 1533-position model. The record is from RNAcentral.